Misgurnus anguillicaudatus (oriental weatherfish) is the source of this 1267-nucleotide non-coding RNA. NCBI's taxonomy places the organism in Eukaryota, Metazoa, Chordata, Actinopteri, Cypriniformes, Cobitidae. The record is from RefSeq and is a predicted model, not a curated record.
UCUCUCUCUCUCUCUCUCUCUCUCUCUCUCUCUCUCUCUCCAUUAAGAAGAUCUGCUUAUUCCAUUUUCAUGUUUACUGGGAAGGUAAAGCGUGCAACACAGUUCUAAAACUCAAAUACAAAGUAACAAAGAAAUGUACAAAUCUGCACUGUUUUCGAAUGAAUACACCUCAACUAUAGUGCGUUGACACAUUUAGGGUAGUUGUUUCUUUCGUAUCCCAAUUUCAAUUGAAAAUCCUGCUGUUCCUUUAGUGUUCAGUUUUAAAACUACUAUGGUACAAAGACUAAUUAAUGUAUUAAUAGAAAUUACAUUUGGAUGGUAGUUACUUUAUCCCACUUUGUUAGUUAAAAUUUUUAAAAGUGUUUGAGUGUUCAUGAGUCUACAUCAGUGUAUACAUGUAUUUGCAAUAAUUCUUGCUAUAUCACAUUUUCAAACGGUUUUCUUUUUUUUACUGUUAGUAUGUAAAAUUGUGCGUUUUCAGCAGCUCAAAUUCCGUUUAUUCGAGAAUGUCCAGAAAAUAAAUUAGCGUAACAGUGGGUCUGAAACCCGGAUUAGGCCAAACGUGCCUCCUAGGAACACACACGGAGAUUCUCCCAGAUAUCGCCACAUAACAGAAACAACAACUGACUUGAAUGAAUGAAUCCUCCAUUGUGUUUUGAACAGAUUUCAGCACUAAUUUAGGUUUUACGUACGGCAUCCCUUACCCUCCCCCAGUGUUACCUCACAGACUUACGGUCGACUUCAAGUUCGGGGAGGGGGACAGGCUACCCACCACGCAAGUCAGAAAGAAGAAUGUACAACAAACGCCACGCAAGCCACUGGAUGAAGUUUCACAAAUGUCGCUUUCAUGGCAAGGAGUUUUCAAAGACUUUACAGACAACGUUACGGAAAGCAAUAUAACGUGAUAAGUAGGAAAAACAGGCAGUGCAUGCAUACUGCACACGGAUAAAGUAACUCAACAUCAUAUCAACACACGCCACAAAGAAAGAUUUUCUGUACAUAUGUACAUACAAUACAUAAUGCAAAAUUAUAUUUUGCUAGGGAUAUAAAAUUGGCAGGAGUAAAAUACUUUCUUAUUUUUCUGAGUGUUAUUUGUAGGUCCACAUUGAGUUGAGUGAAAUUCAUUAAAAAAGUUAAAAUAACAUUUGCUAUUACAGUUCCAACGUAAUACAUUUUAACUACAUAACUACAGUAUAAUUUACACAAUGAUACUGUAAUAACAUUAUAAUAACGUAAUAAUGAACUUAAUGGAAUUAAUAAAAAUAAU